RNAcentral lists this ribosomal RNA (494 nucleotides) under uncultured bacterium. Its description in RNAcentral is "bacterial SSU rRNA". It matches the Rfam family "Bacterial small subunit ribosomal RNA", at positions 33 to 507 of the family's 1533-position model. The record is from RNAcentral.
GAGAGACGCUGGCGGCGUGGAUUAGGCAUGCAAGUCGGACGGUAGGGCUUUAUCGUAAGAUAGAGUUUGAGAGUGGCGAACGGGUGAGUAACACGUAGGAAUCUACCCUUAAGACGGGGACAACCCAGGGAAACUUGGGCUAAUACCGGAUGAGAGUGCGAGAGAUUGCAUUUAAAAGGAUGGCGAAAGUUGUCGCUUAGGGAUGAGCCUGCGGUCUAUUAGUUAGUUGGUGAGGUAAGAGCUCACCAAGGCGAUGAUAGAUAGGCGGCCUUAACGGGUGGUCGCCCACACUGGGAUUGAGAUACGGCCCAGACUCCUACGGGAGGCAGCAGUCGAGAAUAGUCUACAAUGGUCGGAAGACUGAUAGUGCGACGCCGCGUGAACGAUGAAUCCCUUCGGGGUGUAAAGUUCUUUUAUAUGUGAGCAGUGCUUCUUAUAUUAACAGUAUGGGGAGAGAGAUAUUAGCAUAUGAAUAAGCAACGGCUAACUCCGUG